Molecule: long non-coding RNA, 290 nt
Organism: Corticium candelabrum
Lineage: Eukaryota; Metazoa; Porifera; Homoscleromorpha; Homosclerophorida; Plakinidae
Exons: 3
Source: RefSeq, a predicted model, not a curated record
UUUGGCGAGUGAAGAUUUGAGUGGACCAACACCGUGUACAUACUCACCACCAGGAAGAGCAUUGCAGGAGACGAACAGUCCUGGGUAUACAAUGGGAUAUAAACGUGUAGAGAAACUUGGUGGUGGUCAACGAGCUUGGUCUAAGUCGUGGUUUACAACAGACAAUGUCUGGACAAACAAGACGAAAUAGGUCAAGUGUUACAGACUACAACCUUUCCACCACUUUAGGUCACUACGUAACUUGCAGUUCCCAACAGCCAUCGUUUUCCAUGCAAUCAAGAGAAGGCUUU